AGUGAACGCUGGCGGUAGGCCUAACACAUGCAAGUCGAACGGCAGCACAGUAAGAGCUUGCUCUUACGGGUGGCGAGUGGCGGACGGGUGAGGAAUACAUCGGAAUCUACUUUUUCGUGGGGGAUAACGUAGGGAAACUUACGCUAAUACCGCAUACGACCUACGGGUGAAAGCAGGGGAUCUUCGGACCUUGCGCGAUUGAAUGAGCCGAUGUCGGAUUAGCUAGUUGGCGGGGUAAAGGCCCACCAAGGCGACGAUCCGUAGCUGGUCUGAGAGGAUGAUCAGCCACACUGGAACGGAGACACGGUCCAGACUCCUACGGGAGGCAGCAGUGGGGAAUAUUGGACAAUGGGCGGAAGCCUGAUCCAGCCAUACCGCGUGGGGGAAGAAGGCCUUCGGGUUGUAAAGCCCUUUUGUUGGGAAAGAAAAGCAGCAGGUUAAUACCCCGCUGUUCUGACGGUACCCAAAGAAUAAGCACCGGCUAACUUCGUG
Molecule: ribosomal RNA, 492 nt
Filed under: uncultured bacterium
Lineage: Bacteria
Description: partial 16S ribosomal RNA
Rfam family: Bacterial small subunit ribosomal RNA
Source: RNAcentral